This 90-nucleotide transfer RNA is filed under the name Dreissena polymorpha. It matches the Rfam family "tRNA". Rfam says of the family: Transfer RNA (tRNA) molecules are approximately 80 nucleotides in length. Their secondary structure includes four short double-helical elements and three loops (D, anti-codon, and T loops). Lineage: Eukaryota; Metazoa; Mollusca; Bivalvia; Myida; Dreissenidae. The record is from Rfam by way of RNAcentral.
GCCGAUAUAGCUCAGUUGGGAGAGCGUUAGACUGAAAUUGUUUACGCAACAGUCAUCUAAAGGCCCCCGGUUCAAUCCCGGGUUCCGGCA